The sequence is a small nuclear RNA, 115 nucleotides long. Its record names the gene U5. It matches the Rfam family "U5 spliceosomal RNA". Rfam says of the family: U5 RNA is a component of both types of known spliceosome. The precise function of this molecule is unknown, though it is known that the 5' loop is required for splice site selection and p220 binding, and that both the 3' stem-loop and the Sm site are important for Sm protein binding and cap methylation. The record is from Ensembl.
UCACUCUUGUUUCACUUCAGAUCGUAUAAAUCUUUCGCCUUUUACUAAAGAUUUCCGUGGAGUGGAACAAUUAAGAGUUUUACUCAAUUUUUUGAUGCCCUGCGUCUGCGGGGCU